Molecule: long non-coding RNA, 542 nt
Filed under: Numida meleagris (helmeted guineafowl)
Lineage: Eukaryota; Metazoa; Chordata; Aves; Galliformes; Numididae
Description: lncRNA (ENSNMEG00000009052.1)
Source: RNAcentral
ACAGAACAUAUAUACCUUUCAUUUGCUGCAUUUGCCUUAAUGAUCAGCUCACGUAUAUGUGUGUGUCAUGGUACUUCAUUAACUUCUAACUUCAUUACAAACUAGGAGAAGAGAAAGGCAUUCUACAAAAGCAGCAUCUUUACUUGAAUGUGUGACCUUCCUGCUUCCUGAUCUACCAAUUUAAAUUUUGGUUCCACUGCUUUUCCUAUGGCCUCUUAAAAGAAGUAGUGAAACACCCAGUGAUUCUACCACAGGAAAUUGGAAAUUAGUGUUUGAGCUGAAUUUACCCUCUGUGGCAGACCUUGAAUUGAGACUCCAGAUGAUGCUUUCAGAAGUACAGCACCCCCUCAAGGACAGAGCUUCCAUGUGAGGGAAAGGCAUGAGCCUCCUGUUGUCCUUCUAACCCUAUUUCAACCAACUGCAUUUUCAUGGCUGUGAGCUAGCAAGUAAUGUGCUGAGUAGUAAGUUGGAGAAGCCACAGAUCCCAUAAUGUCUGGCAGCUGUCUUCUCUUUGGCCACCUCACAGAAGAACGCCUGACAGC